Molecule: long non-coding RNA, 1548 nt
Filed under: Mus musculus (house mouse)
Lineage: Eukaryota; Metazoa; Chordata; Mammalia; Rodentia; Muridae
Description: small nucleolar RNA host gene 14
Source: RNAcentral
UGAAAGGGAGCCCUUGCUUCCCUGGAAGACAUUUCGUCCGAGCAAUCCCUCUCCAGGUCCAUGUGACCAUUCCUACUCUGAGCCAGUUUUGGAAAGAAAGGGAAGACAUUCUUCCAAGUAUCAAGAAAGUGAGCCCUUGCUUCCCUAGAAGACAUUUCGUUCCAGCAAUCCCUCUCCAGUUCCAUGUGACCAUUCCUACUCUGAGCCAGUAUUGGAAAGAAAGUCAUCUCACAACCUUGGAAGGCAGAGAAUCACAGAUAAUCAGGGAAGACAUUCUUCCAAGUAUCAAGAAAGGGAGCCCUUCCUUCCCUAGAAGACAUUUCGUUCCAGCAAUCCCUCUCCAGUUCCAUGUGACCAUUCCUACUCUGAGCCAGUUUUGGAAAGCCACCUUGGAAGGCAGAGAAACACAGAUAAUCAGGGAAGACAUUCUUCCAAGUAUCAAGAAAGGGAGCCCUUCCUUCCCUAGAAGACAUUUCGUUCCAGCAAUCCCUCUCCAGUUCCAUGUGACCAUUCCUACUCUGAGCCAGUUUUGGAAAUUAUGUCACAAGCCACCUUGGAAGGCAGAGAAACACAGAUAAUCAGGGAAGACAAUCUUCCAAGUAUCAAGAAAGGGAGCCCUUGCUUCCCUGGAGGACAUUUCGUCCCAGCAAUCCCUCUCCAGUUCCAUGUGACCAUUCCUACUCUAAGCCAGUUUUGGAAAGGAAGUCAUCUCACAUGCCACCUUGGAAGGCAGAGAAACACAGAUAAUCAGGGAAGACAUUCUUCCAAAUAUCAAGAAAGGGAGCCCUUGCUUCCCUGGAAGACAUUUCCUCCAGCAAUCCCUCUCCAGUUCCAUGUGACCAUUCCUACUCUGAGCCAGUUUUGGAAAGGAAGUCAUCUCACAUGCCACCUUGGAAGGCAGAGAAACACAGAUAAUCAGGGAAGACAUUCUUCCAAGUAUCAAGAAAGGGAGCCCUUGCUUCCCUGGAGGACCUUUCCUCCCAGCAAUCCCUCUCCAGUUCCAUGUGACCAUUCCUACUCUGAGCCAGUUUUGGAAAGGAAGUCAUCUCACAUGCCACAUUGGAAGGCAGAGAAACACAGAUAAUCAGGGAAGACAUUCUUCCAAGUAUCAAGAAAGGGAGCCCUUGCUUCCCUGGAAGACAUUUCCUCCCAGCAAUCCCUCUCCAGUUCCAUGUGACCAUGCCUACUCUGAGCCAGUUUUGGAAAGGAAGUCAUCUCACAUGCCACCUUGGGAGGCAGAGAAACACAGAUAAUCAGGGAAGACAUUCUUGCAGGUAUCAAGAAAGGGAGCCCUUGCUUCCCUGGAAGACAUUUCGUCCUAGCAAUCCCUCUCCAGUUUCAUAUGACCAUUCCUACUCUGAGCCAGUUUUGGAAAGGAGGGUUUCCAAAGUGCCUUUCCACGCUAGAACCCAGGUUGUGGUCUGCUGGCCGGACACAACAAUUGGCAAACCAACGCGGGACUGAGAAACGGCAAAGGAUUUUUGGAAGAGACGCUGCUGGUUCGGAGCUCCAUAAAAUAAAGGAUAAAGGAAAUUCAUACCGGAGAAG